CCUACGGGUGGCAGCAGUGAGGAAUAUUGGUCAAUGGCCGGAAGGCUGAACCAGCCAAGUAGCGUGAGGGAAGACUGCCCUAUGGGUUGUAAACCUCUUUUAUGCGGGGAUAAAGGUGUCCACGUGUGGAUGUUUGCAGGUACUGUAUGAAUAAGGACCGGCUAAUUCCGUGCCAGCAGCCGCGGUAAUACGGAGGGUCCAGGCGUUAUCCGGAUUUAUUGGGUUUAAAGGGAGCGUAGGCGGGUUGUUAAGCGUGCGGUGAAAUGUUGUGGCUCAACCAUGAAAGUGCGACGCGUACUGGUGACCUUGAGUGGAGGUGAGGCAGGCGGAAUGCGUGGUGUAGCGGUGAAAUGCUUAGAUAUCACGCAGAACCCCGAUUGCGAAGGCAGCCUACCA
This 396-nucleotide ribosomal RNA is filed under the name uncultured bacterium. RNAcentral's name for it is "partial 16S ribosomal RNA". It matches the Rfam family "Bacterial small subunit ribosomal RNA", at positions 338 to 731 of the family's 1533-position model. The record is from RNAcentral.